RNAcentral lists this ribosomal RNA (442 nucleotides) under Culex quinquefasciatus (southern house mosquito). Its description in RNAcentral is "partial 16S ribosomal RNA". The stretch from base 304 to 442 matches the Rfam family "Bacterial large subunit ribosomal RNA", at positions 2473 to 2611 of the family's 2925-position model. Lineage: Eukaryota; Metazoa; Arthropoda; Insecta; Diptera; Culicidae. The record is from RNAcentral.
AUAAUCACUAGUCUUUUAAUUGGAGGCUUGUAUGAAUGGUUGAAUGAGAUAUAUACUGUCUUUUUUAAAAUUAUAUAGAAUUUUAUUUUUUAAUUAAAAAGUUAAAAUAAAAUUAAAGGACGAGAAGACCCUAUAGAUCUUUAUUUUUGUUAUUUAUAAAUUAAAAAGAAUUUUAAAAUUUAUAAUUUAAUAAAAAAUUUUAUUGGGGUGAUAUUAAAAUUUAAAAAACUUUUAAAAUUUAUUAACAUAAAUAUAUGAAUAAAUGAUCCAGUUUUAUUGAUUAAAAAUUUAAGUUACCUUAGGGAUAACAGCGUAAUUUUUUUUUAGAGUUCAUAUCGACAAAAAAGAUUGCGACCUCGAUGUUGGAUUAAGAGUUAUUUUUAGGUGUAGAAGUUUAAAGUUUAGGUCUGUUCGACCUUUGAAUUCUUACAUGAUCUGAGUU